GAUGAACGCUGGCGGCGUGCCUAAUACAUGCAAGUCGAGCGAACAGAUGAGGAGCUUGCUCCUCUGACGUUAGCGGCGGACGGGUGAGUAACACGUGGAUAACCUCCCUAUAAGACUGGGAUAACUUCGGGAAACCGGAGCUAAUACCGGAUAAUAUAUUGAACCGCAUGGUUCAAUAGUGAAAGACGGUUUUGCUGUCACUUAUAGAUGGAUCCGCGCCGCUUUAGCAAGUUGGUAAGGUAACGGCUUACCAAGGCAACGAUGCGUAACCGACCUGAGAGGGUGAUCGGCCACACUGGAACUGAGCCACGGUCCAGACUCCUACGGGAGGCCGCAGUAGGGAAUCUUCCGCAAUGGGCGAAAGCCUGACGGAGCAACGCCGCGUGAGUGAUGAAGGUCUUGGGAUCGUAAAACUCUGUUAUUAGGGAAGAACAAAUGUGUAAGGAACUGUGCACGUCUUGACGGUACCUAAUCAGAAAGCCACGGCUAACUACGUG
Molecule: ribosomal RNA, 497 nt
Filed under: uncultured bacterium
Lineage: Bacteria
Description: partial 16S ribosomal RNA
Rfam family: Bacterial small subunit ribosomal RNA
Source: RNAcentral